CCUACGGGAGUCAGCAGUGGGGAAUAUUGGGCAAUGGGCGCAAGCCUGACCCAGCAACGCCGCGUGAAGGAAGAAGGCUUUCGGGUUGUAAACUUCUUUUGACAGGGAAGAGUAGAAGACGGUACCUGUCGAAUAAGCCACGGCUAACUACGUGCCAGCAGCCGCUGUAAUACGUAGGUGGCAAGCGUUGUCCGGAUUUACUGGGUGUAAAGGGCGUGUAGCCGGGUUGACAAGUCAGAUGUGAAAUCCUGCGGCUUAACCGCAGAACUGCAUUUGAAACUGUUGAUCUUGAGUUCUGGAGAGGCAGACGGAAGUCCUAGUGUAGCGGUGAAAUGCGUAGAUAUUAGGAGGAACACCAGUGGCGAAGGCGGUCUGCUGGACAGCAACUGACGGUGAGGCGCGAAAGCGUGGGGAGCGAACAGGAUUAGAUACCCCUGUAGUC
RNAcentral lists this ribosomal RNA (442 nucleotides) under uncultured bacterium. RNAcentral describes it as "partial 16S ribosomal RNA". It matches the Rfam family "Bacterial small subunit ribosomal RNA", at positions 338 to 795 of the family's 1533-position model. The record is from RNAcentral.